RNAcentral lists this ribosomal RNA (537 nucleotides) under Rattus norvegicus (Norway rat). RNAcentral describes it as "partial large subunit ribosomal RNA". It matches the Rfam family "Bacterial large subunit ribosomal RNA", at positions 1844 to 2604 of the family's 2925-position model. The record is from RNAcentral. Lineage: Eukaryota; Metazoa; Chordata; Mammalia; Rodentia; Muridae.
UAUUAGAGGCAUUGCCUGCCCAGUGACUAAAGUUAAACGGCCGCGGUAUCCUGACCGUGCAAAGGUAGCAUAAUCACUUGUUCCUUAAUUAGGGACUAGAAUGAAUGGCUAAACGAGGGUUCAACUGUCUCUUACUUUCAAUCAGUGAAAUUGACCUUCCAGUGAAGAGGCUGGAAUCUCCCAAUAAGACGAGAAGACCCUAUGGAGCUUUAAUUUACUAGUUCAACUUAUAUAAAAACAACCUAAUGGGCUAAAACAAAAUAAAUAUGAACUAAAAAAUUUCGGUUGGGGUGACCUCGGAGAAUAAAAAAUCCUCCGAAUGAUUUUAACCUAGACUCACAAGUCAAAGUAAUACUAAUAUCUUAUUGACCCAAUUAUUGAUCAACGGACCAAGUUACCCUAGGGAUAACAGCGCAAUCCUAUUUAAGAGUUCAUAUCGACAAUUAGGGUUUACGACCUCGAUGUUGGAUCAGGACAUCCCAAUGGUGCAGAAGCUAUUAAUGGUUCGUUUGUUCAACGAUUAAAGUCCUACGUGAU